Molecule: long non-coding RNA, 1434 nt
Organism: Mercenaria mercenaria
Lineage: Eukaryota; Metazoa; Mollusca; Bivalvia; Venerida; Veneridae
Exons: 3
Source: RefSeq, a predicted model, not a curated record
ACAAUAAAUGAAUGAAGAGACAAACGUCAUUUAUCAAGCAUGUAUUAUAACAUUUCCGUGUUUUGUCAUUUCGUUUCAUUAUCAAAUAACUGACAAUUUGUCGCCCUUUGUAUCAACACGCCAUUUGUAAACAGGAAAGGUCGUGAGAAAGUAAGCUUUUAAACAGUAAUUUGACGAUAAAUUUAAAAGGGAUAAUGAUUGGCAUUGCGCGAUUUACAGAUUAACUAUUGAUUAGCUACUGAGGAACAUCUGGCAUAUUGCUAUGACCUUAAACACAAAAAAGGAAUUCUCAAGGCAUGCCUACAUACCACAUGUUGAAAUAGUUUGUGGAAUGGCUGAAAGAUGAAAGAAUUUCCAGAAAAAAUAAAAUUCUUUAUGAAUUUGUGAAUGGAAAUGAAACCCAAUGAACUAAUAUGUUUGCUUACCAUCCAGUUGAAAGUAUGCCAAUGGAAUAAAGUGCAACUGUCACUGAAGUGCACAAAAUAAGGCAUGUUGUAUGCAAAAGUUCACCAAGCUGAUUCAAACUACAAAUGUGAGGCAAGAAAAAAAAAGUGAAAUUAACUGAACUGUCACAGUUCAACUGUGAGAAAUGUUUGGUAAAAGUAUGUUUUGUUGCCAGAACAGCAGUGAAGUAGUUAAAAGUAAAACUGUCUUAAUUGUUUAAGUAAUACAGAAUAUUUUUUUAAAACUUACUCCAUGCAUAAUAUAUCUUGAGUGUUCUUUUUUAUUUUUAUGUAUUGUCCUGGGUCAGGGUUGUCGUGCGAGAAAAGUCACAGGCUAGGCGAACUUGUAUGGAGAUGAGGAAAAAACACAAAGAACACUAGUUGAUUUGAAUGAAAUAUGGGCAUUUAAUAAAAUGCCAUAAAAAGGCAAAAUUUAACAUUAAAACAGUACAAUCAUUAUAAAGCAAUACAAGGCUAAUAAAUUUCCGAAUUGUAAUAUCUGGGCGACCAAAAAACCGCCGCCCAAAUAACUGACUAGGAAAUGUAAAUACAUUAAAAAAGAUACAUUCUAAAGAUCAAUGUACAUGUAUGAAACUUAAUACAACAAACAAUUUAAAAUAUGACUAGAGAAACAAGAGUUUUAAGCAAACAAUAUUGUCCAUUAUAUAUAAUAAAGCAACCCUGACCAUCAAUGUUAACUUAAGUAAAAGGACGAAGAGGAGGAGGAAGAGAUGGUGGUGGUUUUUCCUGUAACAAAAUUUGGCGAGGGAUCCUUCCUCGCCGAUAAAACAAAGAACAAUGCUCGAAAAUUAACGACUGGCUAAGAGCGAGCACGUGACCAAGCGGGCGCUUUUGAUUGGUUAAACAAUAAUUAUAUGCGAAAGGCUAAAACAUUUAUGAAUAAUGUUACUGUUCAAUGACUUAAAAAAAUUUAUGCCUCCAUAAAAUCUUAUUUAUGUAUUGACCAGGGUCAGGGUUGUCGUGCGAGAAA